UACGAAGGGGGCUAGCGUUGUUCGGAAUGACUGGGCGUAAAGGGCGCGUAGGCGGCCUGCUAAGUCGAACGUGAAAUCCCUGGGCUCAACCCAGGAACUGCGUCCGAUACUGGUUGGCUUGAAUCCGGGAGAGGGAUGUGGAAUUCCAGGUGUAGCGGUGAAAUGCGUAGAUAUCUGGAGGAACACCGGUGGCGAAGGCGACAUCCUGGACCGGUAUUGACGCUGAGGCGCGAAAGCCAGGGGAGCAAACGGG
RNAcentral lists this ribosomal RNA (253 nucleotides) under uncultured bacterium. RNAcentral describes it as "partial 16S ribosomal RNA". It matches the Rfam family "Bacterial small subunit ribosomal RNA", at positions 524 to 776 of the family's 1533-position model. The record is from RNAcentral.